GUCUAUGGUCAUACCACCCUGAACUUGCCUGUUCUUGGAAGAUAAGCAGGGUUGGGCCUGUUUAGUACUUGGAUGGGAGACCAUUUGGGAAUAUUAGGUAUUAUAGGCU
Molecule: ribosomal RNA, 109 nt
Filed under: Notamacropus eugenii (tammar wallaby)
Lineage: Eukaryota; Metazoa; Chordata; Mammalia; Diprotodontia; Macropodidae
Source: RNAcentral